RNAcentral lists this ribosomal RNA (105 nucleotides) under Candidatus Saccharimonadota bacterium. RNAcentral's name for it is "partial 16S ribosomal RNA". It matches the Rfam family "Bacterial small subunit ribosomal RNA", at positions 1 to 99 of the family's 1533-position model. Lineage: Bacteria; Candidatus Saccharimonadota. The record is from RNAcentral.
UUUUAUGGAGAGUUUGAUCCUGGCUCAGGAUGAAUGCUGGCGGCGUGCCUAACACAUGCAAGUCGAGCGGCAGCGAGGGGUGCUUGCACCCUGUCGGCGAGCGGC